RNAcentral lists this ribosomal RNA (253 nucleotides) under uncultured bacterium. Its description in RNAcentral is "partial 16S ribosomal RNA". It matches the Rfam family "Bacterial small subunit ribosomal RNA", at positions 524 to 776 of the family's 1533-position model. The record is from RNAcentral.
UACGAAGGGGACUAGCGUUGUUCGGAUUUACUGGGCGUAAAGCGCGCGUAGGCGGAUCGCUAAGUCAGGGGUGAAAUGCCGAGGCUCAACCUCGGAACUGCCUUUGAUACUGACGAUCUGGAGAUUGGGAGAGGUGAGUGGAAUUCCGAGUGUAGAGGUGAAAUUCGUAGAUAUGGGGAGGAACACCGGUGGCGAAGGCGACCAUCUGGACGGAUACUGACGCUGAGACGCGAAAGCGUGGGGAGCAAACAGG